RNAcentral lists this ribosomal RNA (478 nucleotides) under uncultured bacterium. Its description in RNAcentral is "bacterial SSU rRNA". It matches the Rfam family "Bacterial small subunit ribosomal RNA", at positions 28 to 507 of the family's 1533-position model. The record is from RNAcentral.
GAUGAACGCUGGCGGCGUGCCUAACACAUGCAAGUCGAGCGUGAACCCUGCGAAUGAAACUUCGGUCGAUUUUGCAGGGGGAAAGCGGCGGACGGGUGAGUAACGCGUAGGUAACCUGCCCCAUACUGAGGGAUAGCCUCGGGAAACCGGGAUUAAUACCUCAUAACACCGUAUAUUCGCAUGGAUGUGCGGUCAAAGAUUUAUCGGUAUGGGAUGGGCCUGCGUCUGAUUAGCUGGUUGGUGGGGUAACGGCCUACCAAGGCGACGAUCAGUAGCCGACCUGAGAGGGUGAUCGGCCACAUUGGAACUGAGACACGGUCCAAACCCCUACGGGAGGCAGCAGUGGGGAAUAUUGCACAAUGGGCGAAAGCCUGAUGCAGCAACGCCGCGUGAGCGAAGAAGGCCUUUGGGUCGUAAAGCUCUGUCGGGUAGGAAGAUAAUGACGGUACUACCCGAGGAAGCCCCGGCUAACUACGUG